GGGCCCGCACAAGCGGUGGAGCAUGUGGUUUAAUUCGAUGAUACGCGAGGAACCUUACCAGGGCUUAAAUGUUAGGUGACAGAUCUAGAAAUAGAUUUUUCUUCGGACACUUAACAAGGUGCUGCAUGGUUGUCGUCAGCUCGUGCCGUGAGGUGUCAGGUUAAGUCCUAUAACGAGCGCAACCCCUGUUGUUAGUUGCCAGCGAGUAAUGUCGGGAACUCUAGCGAAACUGCCGGUGUAAACCGAGAGGAAGGUGGGGAUGACGUCAAAUCAUCACGGCCCUUACGUUCUGGGCUACACACGUGCUACAAUGGCCGGUACAGAAAGCAGCCACUAUGCGAAUAGGAGCUAAUCUUUAAAACCGGUCUCAGUUCGGAUCGCAGUCUGCAACUCGACUGCGUGAAGCUGGAAUCGCUAGUAAUCG
This 424-nucleotide ribosomal RNA is filed under the name uncultured bacterium. RNAcentral describes it as "bacterial SSU rRNA". It matches the Rfam family "Bacterial small subunit ribosomal RNA", at positions 917 to 1344 of the family's 1533-position model. The record is from RNAcentral.